AUGAGUUAUUGGGUAGGUGCAGGCGCAGACACAGGCACUGUGGAAGGCCGUAGAGAUGAUGAUGCUGAUGAUGCGAGCAGCAGCAAACUCAACAAACAGAGACACUUGUUGUUGUCAUGCAGUAGUAAUAGUAAUAGUAAUAAGCCAGCGAAUGGAGGGAGAGAAAGUGAUAGGAGAAAGCAGCAGGCUAUGGCUGAAGAGUCCCUUCACAAAGUCAUGUACUUAAAUUGUUGGGCACAAAGCUAG
Molecule: long non-coding RNA, 246 nt
Filed under: Prunus dulcis (almond)
Lineage: Eukaryota; Viridiplantae; Streptophyta; Magnoliopsida; Rosales; Rosaceae
Description: sRNA ncRNA
Source: RNAcentral